Molecule: ribosomal RNA, 1215 nt
Filed under: Triticum aestivum (bread wheat)
Lineage: Eukaryota; Viridiplantae; Streptophyta; Magnoliopsida; Poales; Poaceae
Description: partial small subunit ribosomal RNA
Source: RNAcentral
AUGGGGUACGCUACAUUCCCGGGCCAGAUUGGCCAUGGCCAUGCCGUCUUCCGGGGUCUCUCAGAAGUCGAAGUCUUUGAGCAGCUUCCGGACCUGCUCGAGCGUGACGAAGAGCACCACGGUGAAGGGCCCCUGUCGCGUCACCGUUGGGAUGAAGCCCUUGUACAGCGCCAGCGCGCCCUCGGACCGCACCGUCUUGAUGGCGCAGUCGAUCGCGCCGGCGUACGGCGGCGGGGCGCCCGGCUCCACCUUCAUGUUCAUGAUCCUCGUCUUGACCACGUCCACGGGGCUGGACGCCGCCGCGGCCACCAGGCCGGCCGUGAAGCUGGCGGCCACGUGCGUCGCAAGCCCGUCGCCGCCCGGGCCGCGCCGGGACAGGAUCGCCUCCUUGGCCUGGUCGUAGGUGGCCAGCUGCGACGCCGUGACGAUCAUGGCGCGGUUGACCGUGAGCGACGACCCGCGCCACAGCCUGCGCACGCCCUCGUCGCGCGCGAUCCGGCCGAUGGCGUGCGCGACGCUCCGGUAGUUCCGCCGCUCGGCCGCGGGGAGCCGCCCGUCCGCCUGCAUCCGCACCAUGGCCACGUCCGCCGGGUUGCCCACGGUCGCGCCGACGCCGCCGGCGACGAGCCCGGCCGCGAUCUUCCGGUGCAGCGGCAGCGCGGCGCCGCCGGAUUCCCGCUCCCACCUCCUCUUGAUCGUGUCGUAGAGCCCCAUGGACGUGGAGGAGUAGACCGCCUGCCGCAGCACGGUGGCCGACACCCCGGAGAGCAGCCCCGCGGGGCCCUCCGCCCGCAAGAUCUGCGCGCCGAUGGCGAUGGGCCCGGGCCUGCGCGGCGGCUGCAGGAGGUGGUCGUGGUGGUGGUGAUGCUGCACGCCGGGGGGGAACACGAGCGCGAAGCGCAUGGCCGGGGCCGGGGCCCGGGCCGCCUCGCCCUGCAGCUGCAUGCGGACCUUGAUGAGGUCGAGCGGGUGCGUCGAGCAGCCGGCGACGACGGAGGCGGCGCCGCCCUCGACGAACCCCUUCAGCCCCAUGUCUCCGUCUCUGGUGUUUCGUCGGUGCGGAGGCGGAGGGUCAUGUGGCUAGGAAUCUGGAAGCCCCAGCGCUCGUGGGGAGGCGGAGGUGGAGGCGGAGGCGGCCGAGGUAAUGGACGGCCGGGGGAGGGGAGGGGAGGGGAGGCGGGCAGGCGGGGUGCUGGGCUGGGUCUCGCAACCUAA